UCUAACCUGUCUCCAGGGACAGAACAGUGGGAGGUGUUAGAUGAUGGGAGGAUUUGUCCAUCACGGUGGUGGACAGGAACCUUGUGUAGUGGGCAGUGGGCAGCGUGCCCUUGGCUAGGCCUCUGUAAUGAGCACAGCCUGGGAGCUCAGACAUCAGAAAUGGAGUCUCAGGCCAUCCUGGAGAUUGGGAGGCCCAGAUCCAGGAGUCCAUGGGGUUGGCUCCUUUGGAAGACUGUGGGAAAGGUUCAUGCCAUGCCUCCCCCUGGCAGCUGGUGGCUUGGUGGCAAUCCAAGUGCAGAUAUGAGAGUUAGGAAUGCCAGCAAGAAUGAGACUUCCCUGCCACAGGAUUUCAAGGGAUCUGCUAAGAGAGCUGCAACCUGCUGGGAGUUUGAAAGACUCCUCCAUUCUGCCUCCCCCUGCCCCCAGGGCACUGGGCUUGCACACCCUCCUCUACCUGGCUCCCAUUCUUUGCUCUGUGCCUACCCUAGGCCUCCAGCCCUCCGCCUCUCCUCGAGACCUGUUGGGGCUUUGCCGACUAAUCAGUUUCCUCCUGGCCUUUGUUCUGUCUCAGCACUUGGCUUGUAAUCUGGCCCCAAACCAUCUCCUCUCAGCCUCUCCCACCCCACCCGAUGCUGUACAUCCAACCUUGGCGAAUCUGGCCUCCCUCUUCCAUCAAAGAAAAAGGAGAAAUUUGGAUAAUCCAGCCAGCAGUCAAGGUUUUGUUGCUCCGUGUACUGACUGAAGAUCAACAAACAGAAUGCAAGGCAUCUUCAAACAAAUUUCAGCUCCCAGCAAUUUCUUGAAGUAAUAAUUGGGUCUCCAUGGGGUGGGAAAGAGAGUUUGCGUCUAUCAUCACCCCCCUUGGCAGUUGGCUAUUCUGGGUGGGAAAUGUUGAAGGGAAAACCUAUCCCGGCCCGAUGCUGGCCCACUUAAAACUUCUAUUAUGAAACCAAGUUGCAUAAGCUGUAAGAGAAAAUAAGUUAUAUUCUCAGGAACAAAUUCUAGUGAAUCAGCUCAUUUUAGCCUCACAUCUUCAUCUGUCUCUGAAGUGCCUUAUUUAAAUUUUAAUAGAAAACGUUCUAUGUGGGGCUCAAAUGGAGGGAAUGAAAAUAACACUGUUUAUCCCCAAGACAAAAUUGUGUUGGGAGCAAAAGCAAAAAGAGAGAGAGAGAGAAAUACGAUGCUAAUUUCUUGAAAACAAACCUCCUAUGUCCCACUUCGUAGGGACUGGACAAAGCAAUAUAAAGUCUAUUGUACUGAACAAAAGCAGCAGUGGCACAUUCAGAGACUCACUGUCCCUUUUUAAGUGGCUUUAAAAAUCAGAGAAAAAUUUUCCUUUGGGGGAACGUGAGAAAAGCUUGCAAAGCAAGGUUUUGCCCCCGUCGUGAGGCCGUUCAAGAAAUAGGGUUGCAGGCAGGUCUUUUGUGAGCUUGGGAGAAAAAUCAAGACCUGGGUUCAAAUGCCAACUUCAUCACCAGCUGUGUGACCUCGGCCACGUCCCUGAGUGAGGCGUGAGGGCGGGCGGUCAGCUGUGAUGCAGAGGACACUCACAGCUGCUCUCGUGACAAGGAUGUGAAAUGACAUCCGCAAUUCCUGCCCGUCCCCCAACCGGGGCAGCCUCGCCAUGAGCCUCGUGUCCUCCAUACCAGGAGCUGGCAAACUGCAGCCACGGGCCAGGUCUGGCAGCUUCCUGGGUGUGGAGGAGGCCUCAGACAUUGCCAAGCCUGUCUGUCCCCGUGGUCUCCACCCUCACACACCCACAGCAGAACUGAGUAGGUGCAGGGAAAGGUAUGGUCCACGAGGUCUGGAAAGCUCUUCACCCGGUUUUUGGUUGAGAAAGGCUCUGAGCCGCACUCCCACAGUGGUGGAACAUGGGAGUCAUGUCAGGCAAACUUGUCCAGCUUCAGGCCUGAUGUCUGAUCAGCCACCUCAUUCUAUGGAUUCUAUCUGCAAAUAUCCCUCUUGUGUUUACACCUUCUCCCUUCUCCGCGGCCACGCUGUCUAAGCCACUGGAUGACAUUAGUCUCUAAGAAAGCGCCCAGCAGCUGCUCUGUCCACCCCAUCUCUCUCUCAGCCUGGUAACUCGCCUGGAUCUGACUUCUGGCUCAGUCCCUCUUUCUUCACUUGUGUUUUCAAAGAGCAUUGAAGAGAGCCAGGUCCACAAGGAGAGACUGGCAUGGACAGAGCUGCGGGCUUUGGGGGAAACACCCAGAAGGAAAUGGUGGCCGAAAGGAGAAUUAGACUGGAGGCAGAAAGUUAAAAAAUAUUGAGUUAUCCAAGUGAGAAGAAAUGAAUGUCUUCACUUAGCAGAUAAUGGGAAGAGGAAGAAGGAAGGAAAGAGAGGACAUUAGGGGAGGCAAAUAGCCUGGAAAAGAGAUUGAAUGAGAUCCAAGUUCAGUGAGCUCUGGUGGACGAGGGAUUUGUAAAGCACGGGCUGGAUCAGAGAAAGCAGCCCUUUUGCACAGGAGCUCCCCACAAAGGUGCCGCAGAGAUGGCCACAGCUACACUCAGGCACGGGUGCAGGAGGAUGGGGGUCCUGGUGGGAGAUAGUGGUUGGGGAAUACCUGCUGGGAAGCACAGAAAUGACCUUGGAUCCUGUAGUGUCCUUAGAUAGGUAAGAACGUACGAAUAGCUGCAGCACCGUUCCCACGACCAAGCGAUAGAAACAACCUGAGUGCCCAUAGACAGUGGAAUGGACCGAGAAGAAGUAUAAAAGAUACCCAGUGGAAUACUACUCAGCUACAAAAAAGAUGAACUCUUACCACUGGUGACACGAUGGAUGGCACAGGAGAGGAUUACACUAAAUAAAACAAGUCUGA
Long non-coding RNA from Talpa occidentalis (Iberian mole), 2819 nucleotides. RefSeq lists it as uncharacterized. NCBI's taxonomy places the organism in Eukaryota, Metazoa, Chordata, Mammalia, Eulipotyphla, Talpidae. The record is from RefSeq and is a predicted model, not a curated record. The transcript has 3 exons.